CGGGAUGUGGCGCAGUUGGUAGCGUGCUACGUUCGGGACGUAGAGGUCGCAGGUUCGAAUCUUGUCAUCCCGA
This 73-nucleotide transfer RNA is filed under the name Porphyromonadaceae bacterium CG2_30_38_12. RNAcentral's name for it is "tRNA-Pro". It matches the Rfam family "tRNA". From Rfam's summary of the family: Transfer RNA (tRNA) molecules are approximately 80 nucleotides in length. Their secondary structure includes four short double-helical elements and three loops (D, anti-codon, and T loops). The record is from RNAcentral. RNAcentral also lists the same sequence under 2 other names. Lineage: Bacteria; Pseudomonadati; Bacteroidota; Bacteroidia; Bacteroidales; Porphyromonadaceae.